UACGGGGGGUCCUAGCGUUGUUCGGAAUCACUGGGCGUAAAGCGUUUGUAGGUGGCUUUGUAAGUUAAAUGUGAAAGCCCAGGGCCUAACCCUGGAAGUGCAUUUAAUACUGCAGAGCUUGAGUAUGAGAGAGGAAGGUGGAAUACCUGGUGUAGUGGUGAAAUACGUAGAUAUCAGGUGGAACAUCGGCGGCGAAAGCGGCCUUCUGGCUUAAUACUGACACUGAAAAACGAAAGCGUGGGGAUCAAAC
This 250-nucleotide ribosomal RNA is filed under the name uncultured bacterium. RNAcentral's name for it is "partial 16S ribosomal RNA". It matches the Rfam family "Bacterial small subunit ribosomal RNA", at positions 524 to 773 of the family's 1533-position model. The record is from RNAcentral.